Long non-coding RNA from Acinonyx jubatus (cheetah), 629 nucleotides. RefSeq lists it as uncharacterized. NCBI's taxonomy places the organism in Eukaryota, Metazoa, Chordata, Mammalia, Carnivora, Felidae. The transcript has 4 exons. The record is from RefSeq and is a predicted model, not a curated record.
CAGAGACUGGCCUGCCCAUUUUGUGAAUCUAACACCUGAUAUAAAAUUUCUAAUUACAGACACCAAUUUCUCCCUCCUAGGAGAUCUGAAAAUGCAAGCUCCACUCUUUGUUAGGACCUUUUAUUUUCAUUGGAAAGCCCCUGCCAAACGUUGGCCACAUUUCACUCUGUCUGAUCCAUGCUUUUUUAUCUCUUCUCAACCAGACAAACGCAUAAUGCUUCAUUUGCUGGAUGACCAGGCAAUCCAUUUCCAAGAUCGACUUGUACACAAUGCUCCUGCUGGGCCAAUGUGCUGUGCACAGCGCUCCAAAGUCUCCAGGGGGUGAUGCUGAAUGGCAAGAAACCACUUCUGAGGCAAAACAGCACAAAUCCUGAGGUGGUUACUCUUGGAAGCUGUGGCAAAAGAACCUGGAAGAGCAGCUACCUCCUGGUGAAGAGCUGCUGAUUCAGCUUCUGUUGAGAAGGUAUACACAACUUGGCUGUGGAAUGGAAAAGAAUUCCAAUUUUUCUUUACCAAGAUGGUCAUGACAUAAAAGAAGUGCAUUAAUAAAGAUUCUUUGAUGACCUGGGAAAAUGCAUAUGACGCAGCACUUUCAUGGAGCUUCCGUACAAGAGGAAGACAGGCCAUCA